CCUACGGGUGGCAGCAGUGGGGAAUCUUGCGCAAUGGGCGAAAGCCUGACGCAGCGACGCCGCGUGAGUGAUGAAGGCCCUCGGUUGUAAAGCUCUGGGCGAGAAGGUCCGGUACCCGUUUAGCAAGCACCGGCUAACUCUGUGCCAGCAGCCGCGGUAAGACAGAGGGUGCAAACGUUGUUGGGAAUUACGGGCGUAAAGCGCGUGUAGGCUGCUCCGCAAGGCGGAUGUGAAAGCCCUGGGCUCAACCUGGGAAGUGCAUUCGAUACUGCAGAGCUUGAGUCCUGGAGAGGAAGGCGGAAUUCUCGGUGUAGAGGUGAAAUUCGUAGAUAUCGAGAGGAACACCGGUGGCGAAGCGGCCUUCUGGCAUGACUGACGCUGAGACGCGAAAGUGUGGGGAGCAAACAGGAUUAGAUACCCUUGUAGUC
This 428-nucleotide ribosomal RNA is filed under the name uncultured bacterium. RNAcentral's name for it is "partial 16S ribosomal RNA". It matches the Rfam family "Bacterial small subunit ribosomal RNA", at positions 338 to 795 of the family's 1533-position model. The record is from RNAcentral.